Molecule: ribosomal RNA, 478 nt
Filed under: uncultured bacterium
Lineage: Bacteria
Description: partial 16S ribosomal RNA
Rfam family: Bacterial small subunit ribosomal RNA
Source: RNAcentral
GACGAACGCUGGCGGCGUGCUUAACACAUGCAAGUCGAACGGUAAGGUCCUUCGGGGUACACGAGUGGCGAACGGGUGAGUAACACGUGGGUGAUCUGCCCUGCACUUCGGGAUAAGCCUGGGAAACUGGGUCUAAUACCGGAUAGGACCACUGCCUGCAUGGGUGGUGGUGGAAAGCUUUUGCGGUGUGGGAUGGGCCCGCGGGCUAUCAGGUGGUUGGUGGGGUGAUGGCCUACCAAGGCGACGAGGGGUAGCCGUCCUGAGAGGGUGACCGGACACAAUGGGACUGCGAUACGGACCAGACUGCUAGGGGAGGCAGCUGUCGGGAGUAUUGCACAAUGAGCGCAAGUCUGAUGCGGCGGCGUCGCGUGAGUGAUGACGGCCUGCGGGUUAUAAACCUCGUUGAGCACCGACGUAGCGCAAGUGACGGUAGGUGCAGAAGAAGGACCGGCCAACUACGUGCCAGCCGCCGCCGUAA